This 406-nucleotide ribosomal RNA is filed under the name uncultured bacterium. RNAcentral describes it as "partial 16S ribosomal RNA". It matches the Rfam family "Bacterial small subunit ribosomal RNA", at positions 30 to 526 of the family's 1533-position model. The record is from RNAcentral.
AUUGAACGCUGGCGGCAGGCCUAACACAUGCAAGUCGAACGAGUGGCGGACGGGUGAGUAAUGUCUGGGAAACUGCCUGAUGGAGGGGGAUAACUACUGGAAAUGGUAGCUAAUACCGCAUACCAUCGGAUGUGCCCAGAUGGGAUUAGCUAGUUGGUGGGGUAAAGGUUCACCUAGGCGACGAUCCCGAGCUGGUCUGAGAGGAUGACCAGCCACACUGAAACUGGGACGCGGUCCAGACUCCUACGGGAGUCAGCAGUGGGGAAUAUUGCGCAAUGGGCGCAAGCCUGAUGCAGCCAUGCCGCGUGUAUGAAGAAGGCCUUAGGGUUGUAAAGUACUUACAGCGGGGAGGCGUUACCCGCAGAAGAAGCACCGGCUAACUCCGUGCCAGCAGCCGCGGUAAUUC